CUUUCUACCCUGUGUGAAUGACGACCUGCUGUCUCAGUGCAGCGUGACAAAGACCCUGCCAAAUGAAAGGAAGAUUGUACGCCAUUUAAACACUCCCUAUUGGCCUACUGUCGCCUAGAAGUCAUACAGAUGGACCUAAAUAUGGAUAUCAACAUCUACAGCAAGAUGUACAGGUGAGUCCUCUUGUGACAUUCUUUAAUGUACUUCUAUUUUAUUAUUAAUUCCUAUACACUCUGAACCAAAUUUGUUGAAAAAUAAAGUCAAUCAUGUUCUCUUAUACGCAGACACAACAGAACAGCAGCCUCUACAUGUUGCGAAGCCUACUGCAACAAAAACGUGAUCUUACUGUCUUUGCAACUGAGCACACUCUACCAGCAACACUGACAGCUCACCAGUGGGAGCUGAUAGAUAAGACUGCUCAUGUGCUCUCAUCCAUUGAAGAGCUGACCAGAAACGUGAACAGAAAGACUGCAACUGCACCUGAUGGGAUCCCUGCCAUAACAGAUGUGUUCUGUCCAGUGAAGGCAGUGGAGAAGCCCUACACUGAUGUUGAAACUGUGCCACUCUUCUAGAAACCAGCUACAAGGAU
This 589-nucleotide long non-coding RNA is filed under the name Oreochromis niloticus (Nile tilapia). Its description in RNAcentral is "lncRNA (ENSONIG00000024591.2)". The record is from RNAcentral. Lineage: Eukaryota; Metazoa; Chordata; Actinopteri; Cichliformes; Cichlidae.